This 184-nucleotide ribosomal RNA is filed under the name Escherichia coli DEC2E. RNAcentral's name for it is "partial 16S ribosomal RNA". It matches the Rfam family "Bacterial small subunit ribosomal RNA", at positions 8 to 185 of the family's 1533-position model. The record is from RNAcentral. Lineage: Bacteria; Pseudomonadati; Pseudomonadota; Gammaproteobacteria; Enterobacterales; Enterobacteriaceae.
AGAGUUUGAUCAUGGCUCAGAUUGAACGCUGGCGGCAGGCCUAACACAUGCAAGUCGAACGGUAACAGGAAACAGCUUGCUGUUUCGCUGACGAGUGGCGGACGGGUGAGUAAUGUCUGGGAAACUGCCUGAUGGAGGGGGAUAACUACUGGAAACGGUAGCUAAUACCGCAUAACGUCGCAAG